Molecule: ribosomal RNA, 432 nt
Filed under: Arsenophonus endosymbiont of Diaphorina citri
Lineage: Bacteria; Pseudomonadati; Pseudomonadota; Gammaproteobacteria; Enterobacterales; Morganellaceae
Description: bacterial SSU rRNA
Rfam family: Bacterial small subunit ribosomal RNA
Source: RNAcentral
AGCGCACGCAGGCGGUCUGUCAAGUCGGAUGUGAAAUCCCCGGGCUCAACCUGGGAACUGCAUUCGAAACUGGCAGGCUAGAGUCUUGUAGAGGGGGGUAGAAUUCCAGGUGUAGCGGUGAAAUGCGUAGAGAUCUGGAGGAAUACCGGUGGCGAAGGCGGCCCCCUGGACAAAGACUGACGCUCAGGUGCGAAAGCGUGGGGAGCAAACAGGAUUAGAUACCCUGGUAGUCCACGCCGUAAACGAUGUCGACUUGGAGGUUGUGCCCUUGAGGCGUGGCUUCCGGAGCUAACGCGUUAAGUCGACCGCCUGGGGAGUACGGCCGCAAGGUUAAAACUCAAAUGAAUUGACGGGGGCCCGCACAAGCGGUGGAGCAUGUGGUUUAAUUCGAUGCAACGCGAAGAACCUUACCUACUCUUGACAUCCAGAGAA